This 1031-nucleotide ribosomal RNA is filed under the name Acinetobacter junii. RNAcentral's name for it is "bacterial SSU rRNA". It matches the Rfam family "Bacterial small subunit ribosomal RNA", at positions 28 to 1053 of the family's 1533-position model. Lineage: Bacteria; Pseudomonadati; Pseudomonadota; Gammaproteobacteria; Moraxellales; Moraxellaceae. The record is from RNAcentral.
AUUGAACGCUGGCGGCAGGCUUAACACAUGCAAGUCGAGCGGAGAUGAGGUGCUUGCACCUUAUCUUAGCGGCGGACGGGUGAGUAAUGCUUAGGAAUCUGCCUAUUAGUGGGGGACAACAUUCCGAAAGGAAUGCUAAUACCGCAUACGUCCUACGGGAGAAAGCAGGGGAUCUUCGGACCUUGCGCUAAUAGAUGAGCCUAAGUCGGAUUAGCUAGUUGGUGGGGUAAAGGCCUACCAAGGCGACGAUCUGUAGCGGGUCUGAGAGGAUGAUCCGCCAGACUGGGACUGAGACACGGCCCAGACUCCUACGGGAGGCAGCAGUGGGGAAUAUUGGACAAUGGGGGGAACCCUGAUCCAGCCAUGCCGCGUGUGUGAAGAAGGCCUUAUGGUUGUAAAGCACUUUAAGCGAGGAGGAGGCUACUGAGACUAAUACUCUCGGAUAGUGGACGUUACUCGCAGAAUAAGCACCGGCUAACUCUGUGCCAACAGCCGCGGUAAUACACAGGGUGCGAGCGUUAAUCGGAUUUACUGGGCGUUAAGCGUGUGUGGGCGGCUUUUUAAGUUGGAUGUGAAAUCCCCGAGCUUAACUCGGGAAUUGCAUUCGAUACUGGGGAGCUAGAGUAUGGGAGAGGAUGGUAGAAUUCCAGGUGUAGCGGUGAAAUGCGUAGAGAUCUGGAGGAAUACCGAUGGCGAAGGCAGCCAUCUGGCCUAAUACUGACGCUGAGGUACGAAAGCAUGGGGAGCAAACAGGAUUAGAUACCCUGGUAGUCCAUGCCGUAAACGAUGUCAACCAGCCGUGGGGGCCUUUGAGGCUUUAGUGGCGCAGCUAACGCGAUAAGUAGACCGCCUGGGGAGUACGGUCGCAAGACUAAAACUCAAAUGAAUUGACGGGGGCCCGCACAAGCGGUGGAGCAUGUGGUUUAAUUCGAUGCAACGCGAAGAACCUUACCUGGCCUUGACAUACUAGAAACUUUCCAGAGAUGGAUUGGUGCCUUCGGGAAUCUAGAUACAGGUGCUGCAUGGCUGUC